GAAAGGCGUGCGAUACAGGGUGACAGCCCCGUACACAAAAAUGCACAUAUUGUGAGCUCGAUGAGUAGGGCGGGACACGUGGUAUCCUGUCUGAAUAUGGGGGGACCAUCCUCCAAGGCUAAAUACUCCUGACUGACCGAUAGUGAACCAGUACCGUGAGGGAAAGGCGAAAAGAACCCCGGCGAGGGGAGUGAAAAAGAACCUGAAACCGUGUACGUACAAGCAGUGGGAGCACGCUUAGGCGUGUGACUGCGUACCUUUUGUAUAAUGGGUCAGCGACUUAUAUUCUGUAGCAAGGUUAACCGAAUAGGGGAGCCGAAGGGAAACCGAGUCUUAACGGGCGUUAAGUUGCAGGGUAUAGACCCGAAACCCGGUGAUCUAGCCAUGGGCAGGUUGAAGGUUGGGUAACACUAACUGGAGGACCGAACCGACUAAUGUUGAAAAAUUAGCGGAUGACUUGUGGCUGGGGGUGAAAGGCCAAUCAAACCGGGAGAUAGCUGGUUCUCCCCGAAAGCUAUUUAGGUAGCGCCUCGUGAAUUCAUCUCCGGGGGUAGAGCACUGUUUCGGCAAGGGGGUCAUCCCGACUUACCAACCCGAUGCAAACUGCGAAUACCGGAGAAUGUUAUCACGGGAGACACACGGCGGGUGCUAACGUCCGUCGUGAAGAGGGAAACAACCCAGACCGCCAGCUAAGGUCCCAAAGUCAUGGUUAAGUGGGAAACGAUGUGGGAAGGCCCAGACAGCCAGGAUGUUGGCUUAGAAGCAGCCAUCAUUUAAAGAAAGCGUAAUAGCUCACUGGUCGAGUCGGCCUGCGCGGAAGAUGUAACGGGGCUAAACCAUGCACCGAAGCUGCGGCAGCGACGCUUAUGCGUUGUUGGGUAGGGGAGCGUUCUGUAAGCCUGUGAAGGUGUGCUGUGAGGCAUGCUGGAGGUAUCAGAAGUGCGAAUGCUGACAUAAGUAACGAUAAAGCGGGUGAAAAGCCCGCUCGCCGGAAGACCAAGGGUUCCUGUCCAACGUUAAUCGGGGCAGGGUGAGUCGACCCCUAAGGCGAGGCCGAAAGGCGUAGUCGAUGGGAAACAGGUUAAUAUUCCUGUACUUGGUGUUACUGCGAAGGGGGGACGGAGAAGGCUAUGUUGGCCGGGCGACGGUUGUCCCGGUUUAAGCGUGUAGGCUGGUUUUCCAGGCAAAUCCGGAAAAUCAAGGCUGAGGCGUGAUGACGAGGCACUACGGUGCUGAAGCAACAAAUGCCCUGCUUCCAGGAAAAGCCUCUAAGCAUCAGGUAACAUCAAAUCGUACCCCAAACCGACACAGGUGGUCAGGUAGAGAAUACCAAGGCGCUUGAGAGAACUCGGGUGAAGGAACUAGGCAAAAUGGUGCCGUAACUUCGGGAGAAGGCACGCUGAUAUGUAGGUGAAGUCCCUUGCGGAUGGAGCUGAAAUCAGUCGAAGAUACCAGCUGGCUGCAACUGUUUAUUAAAAACACAGCACUGUGCAAACACGAAAGUGGACGUAUACGGUGUGACGCCUGCCCGGUGCCGGAAGGUUAAUUGAUGGGGUCAGCGCAAGCGAAGCUCUUGAUCGAAGCCCCGGUAAACGGCGGCCGUAACUAUAACGGUCCUAAGGUAGCGAAAUUCCUUGUCGGGUAAGUUCCGACCUGCACGAAUGGCGUAAUGAUGGCCAGGCUGUCUCCACCCGAGACUCAGUGAAAUUGAACUCGCUGUGAAGAUGCAGUGUACCCGCGGCAAGACGGAAAGACCCCGUGAACCUUUACUAUAGCUUGACACUGAACAUUGAGCCUUGAUGUGUAGGAUAGGUGGGAGGCUUUGAAGUGUGGACGCCAGUCUGCAUGGAGCCGACCUUGAAAUACCACCCUUUAAUGUUUGAUGUUCUAACGUGGACCCGUGAUCCGGGUUGCGGACAGUGUCUGGUGGGUAGUUUGACUGGGGCGGUCUCCUCCUAAAGAGUAACGGAGGAGCACGAAGGUUGGCUAAUCCUGGUCGGACAUCAGGAGGUUAGUGCAAUGGCAUAAGCCAGCUUGACUGCGAGCGUGACGGCGCGAGCAGGUGCGAAAGCAGGUCAUAGUGAUCCGGUGGUUCUGAAUGGAAGGGCCAUCGCUCAACGGAUAAAAGGUACUCCGGGGAUAACAGGCUGAUACCGCCCAAGAGUUCAUAUCGACGGCGGUGUUUGGCACCUCGAUGUCGGCUCAUCACAUCCUGGGGCUGAAGUAGGUCCCAAGGGUAUGGCUGUUCGCCAUUUAAAGUGGUACGCGAGCUGGGUUUAGAACGUCGUGAGACAGUUCGGUCCCUAUCUGCCGUGGGCGCUGGAGAACUGAGGGGGGCUGCUCCUAGUACGAGAGGACCGGAGUGGACGCAUCACUGGUGUUCGGGUUGUCAUGCCAAUGGCACUGCCCGGUAGCUAAAUGCGGAAGAGAUAAGUGCUGA
Molecule: ribosomal RNA, 2440 nt
Filed under: Escherichia coli
Lineage: Bacteria; Pseudomonadati; Pseudomonadota; Gammaproteobacteria; Enterobacterales; Enterobacteriaceae
Description: partial 23S ribosomal RNA
Rfam family: Bacterial large subunit ribosomal RNA
Source: RNAcentral